This 1311-nucleotide ribosomal RNA is filed under the name uncultured bacterium. RNAcentral's name for it is "bacterial SSU rRNA". It matches the Rfam family "Bacterial small subunit ribosomal RNA", at positions 8 to 1366 of the family's 1533-position model. The record is from RNAcentral.
AGAGUUUGAUCAUGGCUCAGAACGUACGCUGGCGGCACGCCUAACACAUGCAAGUCGAACGAAGUAGCAAUACUUAGUGGCAGACGGGUGAGUAACAUGUAGGUAUCUGCCCUUUGGCCUGGAAUAACACGAGGAAACUUGUGCUAAUACCGGAUAAGUCUUUACGGAGAAAGCUUUAUGCACCAUUGGAUGAGCCUGCACUUGAUUAGUUUGUUGGUGGGGUAAUGGCCUACCAAGACUGUGAUCAAUAGCUGAUUUGAGAGGAUGAUCAGCCACAUUGGGACUGAGACACGGCCCAAACUCCUACGGGAGGCAGCAGUGGGGAAUCUUGCACAAUGGAGGCAACUCUGAUGCAGCGAUGCCGCGUGAGUGAGGAAGGCCUUUGGGUUGUAAAGCUCUUUCGUCGGGGAAGAAAAUGACUGUACCCGAAUAAGAAGGUCCGGCUAACUUCGUGCCAGCAGCCGCGGUAAUACGAAGGGACCUAGCGUAGUUCGGAAUUACUGGGCUUAAAGAGUUCGUAGGUGGUUGAAAAAGUUAGUGGUGAAAUCCCAGAGCUUAACUCUGGAACUGCCAUUAAAACUUUUCAGCUAGAGUAUGAUAGAGGAAAGCAGAAUUUCUAGUGUAGAGGUGAAAUUCGUAGAUAUUAGAAAGAAUACCAAUUGCGAAGGCAGCUUUCUGGAUCAUUACUGACACUGAGGAACGAAAGCAUGGGUAGCGAAGAGGAUUAGAUACCCUCGUAGUCCAUGCCGUAAACGAUGUGUGUUAGACGUUGGAAAUUUAUUUUCAGUGUCGCAGGGAAACCGAUAAACACACCGCCUGGGGAGUACGACCGCAAGGUUAAAACUCAAAUGAAUUGACGGGGACUCGCACAAGUAGUGGAGCAUGUGGUUUAAUUCGAAGAUACGCGCAGAACCUUACCAACACUUGACAUGUUCGUCGCGACUCUGAGAGAUUAGAGUUUUCGGUUCGGCCGGACGAAACACAGGUGCUGCAUGGCUGUCGUCAGCUCGUGUCGUGAGAUGUUGGGUUAAGUCCCGCAACGAGCGCAACCCUCACUUUUAGUUGCCAUCAUUAAGUUGGGCACUCUGAAAGAACUGCCAGUGAUAAGCUGGAGGAAGGUGGGGAUGACGUCAAGUCCUCAUGGCCCUUACGUGUUGGGCUACACACGUGCUACAAUGGUAUCUACAACAGGAAGCAAGACUGCGAAGUUAAGCAAAUCCCUAAAAGAUACCUCAGUUCGGAUUGCACUCUGCAACUCGAGUGCAUGAAGCUGGAAUUACUAGUAAUCGUGGAUCAGCGUGCCACGGUGAA